CUAGAGACUAGUUUGCUAACAAGUUACAUAGGCAGUACUGAACUUUGUGGAGAGACUCGUUUCUGGCUACUGCAAUUUCAUCCCCAUAUAUAUAUAUAUAUAUAUAUAUAUAUAUAUAUAUAUAUAUAUAUAUAUACACACACACAUAUAUAUAUAUAUGGUCCUGGUUUUGCACAUACCUGUAGUGCCAACUGGGUAGGACACAGCAGGAGAAUGGAGUCGUCUGAUAUAUGAAUGUAGUGAAAUACUCUUAAGAUGGUUGAAAGAGAAAGACGACACCGUGAUGGCUUCAAAAGACCUGUCUGUCAUCUCUGUAUAAUGGUUUAGCUAAUGUUAUUAUGAAUUGUAAUUGUUUAUUUUUCUCUGGUUAAGAUUUCAUUGACAGGUUUAAGACACCACGGAUGCCCUGGUAUGAUAUUGGGGUGCUGGUUCAUGGGAAGGCUGCAAGAGAUAUUGCAUGACAUUUCAUUCAGAGGUGGAACUUUACAAAGCUGGUGAAGAAGCAGUCGGGGGCGACGUGCUACCCCUGCCUCAUGCCCAAGUCUCUAUCCGCACCCAUGGUGCCAGCUGAGUACAGCGGCAAAUCAACACAGGCUAAUGUUCAGCUUUUGAGGUCUGUGUGCCAGUGGUCUAUUGGGACAAAGGUCCACGAGGAGUCGAUUCAUUUAGCCUAUGUAUCAGCCAUCCAGAACAGCAAACAUUUCAUCUACAUAGAGAUAAAAUAUAUGUGACCUUGGACCACAAAACCAAGUCGCUGGGGUAUAUUUGUAGCAAUACCCAAAAAUACAUUGUGUGAAUCAAAAUUAUUGAUUUUUCUUUUAUGCCAAAAAUCAUUAGGAUAUUAAGUAAAGACCAUGUUCCAUGAAGAUAUUUUGUAAAUUUCCUACUGUAAAUAUAUUAAAACUUAAUUUUUUAUUGGUAAUAUGCAUUGCUAAGAACUUCAUUUGGACAACUUUAAAGGCGAUUUUCUCAAUAUUUUGAUAUUUUUGCACCCUCAGAUUCCAGAUUUUUAAAUAGUUGAAUCUCGGCCAAAUAUUGUCCUAACAAACCAUACAUCAAUUGAAAGCUUAUUUAUUCAGCUUUCAGAUGAUGUAUACAUUUCAAUUUCAAAAAAUUUACCCUUAUGACUGUUUUUUUGGUCCAAGGUCACAUAUGACCAUAACUGUACAUCAACUGCACAGUUUGGUACAGGGCCUAUGUCUGGUCUUCAGUGCAGAGUAAAAUGUUUUUAUUUGUUUUUAGGGGCACAGUAACCGUGCAUAAAUUCUAUGAACUUUGAUUCAAAUUUAUAUUUCAGAAAUGCUGUUUUAUUCUAACUACAGUAUCUAUUCAUUGAGAGUUGAAAACAGUUGUAUGGCACUGUAAAAUUUUAAUAAUGUUUCAAUUUUGAUCAUACUAAUGCAGCUGUGGUGAGCAUAAGGAACCUCUUUCAAAAAAAAAAAAAAAAAAUCUUACUGACCCCAGCCAUCAAAGCAUUCAUGCACUUUAAUUACAGGUAAUAACCCUGCAAGCAUGUGUCUACAGUAAUCACCAAAUUGCCACAAUUAAGGGUAAAAAUGCAGCCUGAACGGCAGCUUGCAGCAAAUUACACGUGUGUAAUGUGGAAACAACAGACCCUGCUCCUCACAGGCUACAGAGAGACCAUUACAGCCCCAGCUUGGACUCUCUACACUAGGCUAGAUAAGAGGAGCAGUGUGGGUGCUGUUGUCACUGGGGUUUAGCGAGCGAUGUGAUUGGUCAGGUGAAGAGGAAUUAAAAAAUAUGAUUGGUGCAAGACAGGAAGUAGAUGAAAUGAAACCCCUCUUUCUCAAUUUCAGGACAAUGUGCCGAGGGGAGCACUCCAUUAUUGAGAGGCUCAAAUGUAUGAGUAAGCAGACUAGUACUUAGAAGUAUAAACCUACACUAUAUCCGUAACAUCUGCAAAAACCAUGACCAUGUAAUUCAUUAUAACAGGACAAG
Long non-coding RNA from Cyprinus carpio carpio, 1959 nucleotides. The record is from Ensembl. NCBI's taxonomy places the organism in Eukaryota, Metazoa, Chordata, Actinopteri, Cypriniformes, Cyprinidae.